GAUUUACAUUUGAGUGAGUGGCGAACUGGUGAGUAACACGUGGGAAACCUGCCCAGAAGCGGGGGAUAACACCUGGAAACAGAUGCUAAUACCGCAUAACAACUUGGACCGCAUGGUCCGAGUUUGAAAGAUGGCUUCGGCUAUCACUUUUGGAUGGUCCCGCGGCGUAUUAGCUAGAUGGUGGGGUAACGGCUCACCAUGGCAAUGAUACGUAGCCGACCUGAGAGGGUAAUCGGCCACAUUGGGACUGAGACACGGCCCAAACUCCUACGGGAGGCAGCAGUAGGGAAUCUUCCACAAUGGACGAAAGUCUGAUGGAGCAACGCCGCGUGAGUGAAGAAGGGUUUCGGCUCGUAAAACUCUGUUGUUAAAGAAGAACAUAUCUGAGAGUAACUGUUCAGGUAUUGACGGUAUUUAACCAGAAAGCCACGGCUAACUACGUGCCAGCAGCCGCGGUAAUACGUAGGUGGCAAGCGUUGUCCGGAUUUAUUGGGCGUAAAGCGAGCGCAGGCGGUUUUUUAAGUCUGAUGUGAAAGCCUUCGGCUCAACCGAAGAAGUGCAUCGGAAACUGGGAAACUUGAGUGCAGAAGAGGACAGUGGAACUCCAUGUGUAGCGGUGAAAUGCGUAGAUAUAUGGAAGAACACCAGUGGCGAAGGCGGCUGUCUGGUCUGUAACUGACGCUGAGGCUCGAAAGUAUGGGUAGCAAACAGGAUUAGAUACCCUGGUAGUCCAUACCGUAAACGAUGAAUGCUAAGUGUUGGAGGGUUUCCGCCCUUCAGUGCUGCAGCUAACGCAUUAAGCAUUCCGCCUGGGGAGUACGGCCGCAAGGCUGAAACUCAAAGGAAUUGACGGGGGCCCGCACAAGCGGUGGAGCAUGUGGUUUAAUUCGAAGCUACGCGAAGAACCUUACCAGGUCUUGACAUACUAUGCAAAUCUAAGAGAUUAGACGUUCCCUUCGGGGACAUGGAUACAGGUGGUGCAUGGUUGUCGUCAGCUCGUGUCGUGAGAUGUUGGGUUAAGUCCCGCAACGAGCGCAACCCUUAUUAUCAGUUGCCAGCAUUAAGUUGGGCACUCUGGUGAGACUGCCGGUGACAAACCGGAGGAAGGUGGGGAUGACGUCAAAUCAUCAUGCCCCUUAUGACCUGGGCUACACACGUGCUACAAUGGAUGGUACAACGAGUUGCGAACUCGCGAGAGUAAGCUAAUCUCUUAAAGCCAUUCUCAGUUCGGAUUGUAGGCUGCAACUCGCCUACAUGAAGUCGGAAUCGCUAGUAAUCGCGGAUCAGCAUGCCGCGGUGAAUACGUUCCCGGGCCUUGUACACACCGCCCGUCACACCAUGAGAGUUU
This 1348-nucleotide ribosomal RNA is filed under the name Lactobacillus sp. Its description in RNAcentral is "bacterial SSU rRNA". It matches the Rfam family "Bacterial small subunit ribosomal RNA", at positions 76 to 1413 of the family's 1533-position model. The record is from RNAcentral. Lineage: Bacteria; Bacillati; Bacillota; Bacilli; Lactobacillales; Lactobacillaceae.